AGAAAUGGCAGAAAAAGUGAAAGUUUUCUCUGGGACUUCCAGGCUUCUUCAAGGAGAUAAAACUCAAAAAGCCUCUGACUGAAAUAAGAAUUGCCAGACCCUUACCAUCCCACCUGUCUCACUAUGACUGUUACAAUGUCCUAAGGACCUCCCCACCCCAGCAGCUUGGCCUUCUCCUUCCUGCCCUCCUCUAGAAAAGCUCCCAGCCACACUCACUGAGGAUGGGAUGCCCUGCAAGGUUUUGGUGAGACAAUGGGGAAUGCCAGAUGACAGGUUGUUAGGAGAGGCUCAUAUGAAGAGGAACUACUGCACCUGCUAAAAGGAUGAGCUUGAAGCAAAUAUUCCUGCCCCAGGGAAGCCUUCAGCUUGCUGCAGCCCCAGUUGACAUCUAGACUGCAAGAUCCACUACCUACCUAAUCUACUUCUAAAUUCUUGACCUUCAGAAACUGUGAGUUUUCAGAGAAAACCUAAAUAUAAGAUAUGACUGUGAUGAUGAUGCAGAUAAAAUUAAACCCCAGAGACAGCUGAUGCAUAGGCAGACAUAAAGUACAGGUGAGUUUCCAAGGCAAGUAGUUAUCCUGGUGAAGGGGAAAUGGAAAAAACCAACAUUGCAUACCUGGUCUCACCUGGAAAGGGAUGGAUAUCUGGUUAGCAGGAACCGAAUGGAAUUUGGAGGCUAUGCUUGGAGAUCACUUAGCUCUGAAACUUUAGGUAAUGGCCCCCUCUCUGCAGCCUUGGCUUCCUUCAUGGUGAAAUGAGGGCUGUUCCAGCGCCAGGGUCAUCUAAGGACAGCUCUUUCAGGCCUCGGAGCCCUGGCAUUGGUCGUUUUCUCUGCUGAAGUCACCUCUGCCCUUCUACCCCCCUGACCUCCCACGUUGACCCUUCAGGCUUGGCUGCCUUUCCCUAUUGUGCCCACCAGGCUGGAUAAGUGACUUUACUACCAAUCCCACAGAACGCAAGGCCCAGAGGUGCUCUGGUCACAGUCCGGGUCUUCCUUAGCCACCGCACCUGAAGCAGAGGCCCCCUCCGCUUAUAUCUCCAUCUAAUUCUUCUGAUCAUGUACCUCCCAAUACAUAAUGAUCAUAGCUUGUCAUUGUUUUAUCUACUGGCUGUUUCCUUGGGUCUUUUCUCUUUAGGACGUCCCUGCCUCUUGGUGGCCGCUCUCCCCACAGGCCUGGCACAUGGGCAGGGCCCCAUACGUGUUGGUUAAAUGACAGAAGAAACAGCUGUGGGUAUCCUAGGCCUGAGAACACUGGGAAGACUGCCCUGGGCUGGGCUGAUUCCAAACUGCCGGCGGAGGCGGGACCUAGGGCGGAUUCUGGGCGGGACGCGGAGAGUCUCGGGCGGAGCCUCUGGGGCGUCAGGGCGGGGCUUUGGGGCUGCGGCGGAGCAGGCCUAACCAAGCAGCCCAGGCUACGCCUGGUUGAGUUCCACUGGCCGCUCGGCCCUCCGGCCACCCGCCCGCGCCGCCGUCAGGGGGCGCUCUCGCUCGCGGCGCCGCGUUUCUACUGGGGAGGCGCCGUCCGCUCCGGGCGGCUGGAGCCGCAACUCCGGGCGCGGGCUCAGUCGUCCCGUCUGCCGCCGCCGCCGCCACCGCCGCCUCCGGGAGCGGGCUCGCUCGUCCUCGCGGUCUCACUCUCCGGCCGCCGGCGUCUCCCGGCCCGGCAGCUGCCGCCGCCGCCGCCGCCGCCGCCGCGCACCCUCCACUGGAAACUGCCAGAAGGGAGAGAAGAUGAAAAGCAAAUGAAUCAUUUUCUAAUUGUUAGCAGCUCUGGAAAAUGACUUAGUAGAAGAGGUUGAAGCUCUUCUGGAAAUUCUUUUGGAUUAUUUUUGUUUCAUUCAUCUGCAUUGUCUCUGAGAUGUUCCUGAUCAUCAUCACUUGAGAGGUUGAUUAUCCAGCUGUUGGAUGACCAGGAAUCUUCUUGGUUUUUUUGAUUUAUUUCUUGCUGUAUCUGAGCAUCUCCACAGAGGAUAUUUAGAGUUUCCCUGGAACCUGGGCUCCCCGAGACGCAGCACUGGAGCAGAUGGAUAAUGGAGACUGGGGCUAUAUGAUGACUGACCCAGUCACGUUAAAUGUAGGUGGACACUUGUACACAACAUCUCUCACCACGUUGACGCGUUACCCGGAUUCCAUGCUUGGAGCUAUGUUUGGGGGGGACUUCCCCACAGCUCGAGAUCCUCAAGGCAAUUACUUCAUUGAUCGAGAUGGACCUCUUUUCCGAUAUGUCCUCAACUUCUUGAGAACUUCAGAGUUGACUUUACCCCUGGAUUUUAAGGAAUUUGAUCUGCUUCGGAAAGAAGCAGACUUUUAUCAGAUUGAGCCCUUGAUUCAGUGUCUCAAUGACCCCAAGCCUUUGUAUCCUAUGGAUACUUUUGAAGAAGUUGUGGAGUUAUCUAGUACUCGGAAGCUUUCUAAGUAUUCCAAUCCAGUAGCUGUCAUCAUAACCCAGUUAACCAUUACCACCAAGGUCCAUUCCUUACUAGAAGGUAUAUCAAACUAUUUUACGAAGUGGAAUAAGCACAUGAUGGACACCAGAGAUUGCCAGGUUUCCUUUACUUUUGGACCCUGUGAUUAUCACCAGGAAGUUUCUCUUCGAGUCCAUCUGAUGGAAUACAUUACAAAGCAAGGUUUCACAAUCCGCAACACCCGAGUGCAUCACAUGAGUGAGCGGGCCAACGAGAACACAGUGGAGCACAACUGGACUUUCUGCAGGCUGGCCCGGAAGACCGAUGACUGACCUUCAGCCUGGGAGAAGUUCCUACAAAUGGACUCCCCAAGGAGAUUGAAGAGGCUGUUUUUUGUUUGUUUGGUUUUUGUUUUUGUUUUUUAAAUCACAGUGUGAGGAUUUUUUUUUUUUUUUUUUAAUAUUUGUAUUUAUUUGAAGGCAUUGGGGACCAGCAGGAAGUUUUGUGCUUUAGCAGACUCCUCUUUGUGUGGUUCCCUUCACCCUGAGUAUGCAUGUGCCUGUUCAGAGCCUCCAGAUACCUUUUUUAUAAAAAGAAGUCUGAAA
Molecule: long non-coding RNA, 3011 nt
Filed under: Sus scrofa (pig)
Lineage: Eukaryota; Metazoa; Chordata; Mammalia; Artiodactyla; Suidae
Description: lncRNA (ENSSSCG00060049499.1)
Source: RNAcentral